RNAcentral lists this long non-coding RNA (734 nucleotides) under Bemisia tabaci. RNAcentral's name for it is "lncRNA ENSSSA2NGG000884". The record is from RNAcentral. Lineage: Eukaryota; Metazoa; Arthropoda; Insecta; Hemiptera; Aleyrodidae.
AAUCUUUCUCAAGACUUGCCACAAACUUUCCUUAAGUUUGAUUUUAUGAUUUUUUUUUUUUUUUACGGAUAGGUAUCAAAAUAAUACUUUUAAUUCUGUAUUCUAGAUAAUUUGCACCUCUAUAAUUGGGCAAAAGACAGGGUGGAAUCCCUGAAUCGAGUAACUAAUAAUUUGGGUCAGUGGCUCAGCGCUCGCUCUAAUUUGUUGUCAAGUAUUCUGUACCAAAAAAUGGGAUUAUUUCAUAAUCAGCCAAUCAUCAGGCAGAUACAGAAUCAGUCUAAUAACCCCUACAACACAGUCGUCACGGAUGUCGAAAAUUUAACGCACUUUCCUGCACAUCCACCUCGACCACGCAGCAGUGCUGCUCUCCAUCCAUCCCUGUUGGAGGCAUUUCGCAACACUAUUCUCUUACCAAAAAAAGGCUCUAAAUCUGUAGCGGAUCCAGUCGUUAGAAACACCCAGCAAAUGCUCAACAUUCUUAAAAGUGAUUCCAAAGAACAACAGAAAAAACUGUAUACAAUGUGGCAGACAAGAGGCUCAACACCAAACAUUCCAAUGGCUCCUGAAAUUCUCGAACUUUUCAUCCAGAAUGCUCGCACUAUCCAUUUCUGCAUUACGCCUCUUUUGUUUUACCUAGGUAUGGUCUAAAAUUUCAUCGCUUGAUAUUGGUGCAUUUGGUCAACUUUUACCUUGAUUUUUAGACAGAUUUUAUUUGUGUUAUACAUUCCAUGUAA